GCCAUGCAUGAAGGCGUAUGCCUGUAGUCCCAGCUAUUCUGGAGGCUGAGGCUGAAGUAUUACUUGAGCCCAGGUGUUUCAGGCUGCAGUAAGCUAUACUCACAGGGUGCCCAUACUAAAUUCAGCAUCAAUGUGGUGACCUCCUAGAAACCAGGGAUUACCACAUUGUGCAGGUAGGGGUGACAGAGCAGGUUGGAAACAGGAGACCAAAACUCCCAUGCUGAUCAGUAGUGGGAUUGUGCCUGUGAGUGGCCACUGCACUCCAGCCUGGCAACAUAGUGAAAAACUAUCUCU
Molecule: signal recognition particle RNA, 294 nt
Filed under: Saimiri boliviensis boliviensis (Bolivian squirrel monkey)
Lineage: Eukaryota; Metazoa; Chordata; Mammalia; Primates; Cebidae
Description: Metazoan signal recognition particle RNA (ENSSBOG00000010649.1)
Rfam family: Metazoan signal recognition particle RNA
About the family: The signal recognition particle (SRP) is a universally conserved ribonucleoprotein. It is involved in the co-translational targeting of proteins to membranes.
Source: RNAcentral